AACGAACGCUGGCGGCAUGCCUAACACAUGCAAGUCGAACGAGACCUUCGGGUCUAGUGGCGCACGGGUGCGUAACGCGUGGGAACCUGCCUUUAGGUUCGGAAUAACUCAGAGAAAUAUGAGCUAAUACCGGGGGAUGUCUUCGGACCAAAGAUUUAUCGCCUUUAGAUGGGCCCGCGUUGGAUUAGCUAGUUGGUAGGGUAAAGGCCUACCAAGGCGACGAUCCAUAGCUGGUCUGAGAGGAUGAUCAGCCACACUGGGACUGAGACACGGCCCAGACUCCUACGGGAGGCAGCAGUGGGGAAUAUUGGACAAUGGGCGAAAGCCUGAUCCAGCAAUGCCGCGUGAGUGAUGAAGGCCUUAGGGUUGUAAAGCUCUUUUACCCGAGAUGAUAAUGACAGUAUCGGGAGAAUAAGCUCCGGCUAACUCCGUG
RNAcentral lists this ribosomal RNA (433 nucleotides) under uncultured bacterium. RNAcentral's name for it is "partial 16S ribosomal RNA". It matches the Rfam family "Bacterial small subunit ribosomal RNA", at positions 29 to 507 of the family's 1533-position model. The record is from RNAcentral.